This is a non-coding RNA of Sturnus vulgaris (Common starling), 3081 nucleotides long. The record is from RefSeq and is a predicted model, not a curated record. Lineage: Eukaryota; Metazoa; Chordata; Aves; Passeriformes; Sturnidae.
GCUCUCUAUCCUCCCAGUGUUUGGAAUUAUCAGUUAAUUUUGUGUGCAGGGUUAGCUCAGCAGCUCCUGUCGUGGGCACCCUUAGCAGCACCAAGAACUGAGAAGCUAAUAUCAAAUAAAUUUCAGCUGCAUAUGCUAUCACCUGAGCUGGAAUAGUUUUCCAGGUGUUUAUUCAGGAGCGAUCCUUAAUAUUGAAGAUAUUUCACACAUCAGUAUGGGGCCACUACCCUUGAGGAAAAUUUUCCAAAGUCAAGCCAUGUAGGAGUGACCUUCUUUUAAUUACCUGGUUUUCCAUUGCUGAUGAAGGGAAGCAAAGCUGAAUGUGAUUGAUAUUCUAUUCUUACUGCUCUACUCUGAAAUUCAGCAAAUAGAGGUGAAGCACAGAGAAGUGGAGGUUUUAAUGGCUGGUACGUGGUCAGAGGCUCCUGAGACAGUGGGUUUUUGCAAGGCAGGACUCCAACAUCCAAAGUAUGUAGAAAAUCCUGACAUGUUUCAGUAAGUAUGAUUUGGACAGCAGUUCCUGAAAUUGCCAUUUUAACAAAUGUGUUGGAUGAUGACUCUGACAGUAGAAUUUUAUUGCCUGCUUUUUAAGAAGAGGGGUGGGACUGUUUUAAGUGACUGCUGGAGAUUUGUAAGAAAAGUCUGUGCAGGCAAUUAUGAAUAUUAGUCACUGUAAACAGAACACACAAGGUUUUCUCUUUGAUAAUUACCCAAUAUUUGGCGCAGCUUCCUGCUCUCCAGCUCCACCCAACUGAGCUUUAAGUCACCUUAUAAGAGCACCCAAUUUUAAGAAUCCAGCACCUUGUAGCUGUGGAAAUAUAUUGAACUUUGCAAGAACCCAAGUGAUAGAGCUUUACUGGGAGACUGUAGACUGCUGUGCUGGUUUUGUAGCAUUCCUCUCUGCUAAAAAGCUUAGAUUGUACUGAGUGAUCAGUAUCAUCCCCCUCAUUCAGGUUUACAGUGGCAGAGACAGUCGUUCAAGUAAAACAUUUUCCUAGAAACACCCUUUCCUGUGCAACUAUAUUUAUCAACAGUGGGUUUGUUUGCACAUGACAUACAUUUCUUUAAAUACCCAGAACAAUGUGACCCACUCCUGCACUUAUUUGAGGAGUGAAGCUACUAUUCAUUGGGGACAAUGUAAAUCAAUGUAAGAGGUAUUUCUGGUUUUUGGGCUAAAUAAUAGUGAUUACUGUUUCACUGCUGCAUGGCCAUUCUGAAGAGAGACAUUUGCCUUUUGUAUUAUCAGAGAAAUAUGAAGACCACCAAUAAAUUAUUUCUUUAUCUGCUGUAGGCAAUAUGUCAUUUAUAUGUAUAUUAUAUGCAUGUAUUAUAUGUAUAUUGUGAGAAUUAGUUAUAUUUUCUUACUUCCUGCCAAACAGAUUGAAAAGACUGACAGGUAACAUGAAAAGGAAUUUAUCAGUUAUUUUCUAUGUUAGAUUCGCUGCUAUCUUUUGUUUUAUUAGAGCAUAAUAAUAAUAAAUAAUUAAAUUCUCAUUACUGAGGAGAUUUAAAUUUGUGAAAAAUCUCAUAUUCCUUUAAGGGAAAGGGAGAAUAAGGAAUGUGUGAGUCUAGAAAUCCCAGGGGAGUAAAUUCUUUUUAAAAGAAUGCUUCUGCAAUUCUAAUGACCGAGCUUAUCAAAUGUCACUACACUUGCAUAGGUAUUCUAGAUUAAUUAUUUUUUUACCAAAUCUUUUUUUUUGCCUUGCAAAUAUUCAUUUUUCUUUUGUUCAGCUAAUCAGGUACCAAGUACCUGCUCAUUGUUAUCUCCAUGUUAACUUGAAUGUUGCGACGUAAUUGAACUCUUUCUUUAACCUCGUCUAACAACGAACUCAAGUGAAUUGAAAAUCUCUGAUAUCAUCAUAAUCCUUUGCUUAUCUUUCUUUGCUUAGGAGGUAAAACACCCAUUGAGCUUGACUCACCUGCAAGAUUUACACAAAGUUACUACUCUGAAAAUUGUUGAUUCAGUCUCUUCAGAUUCCCAUGGUUUAUGCAGUUGCAUUCAACUUAUCUGCCUAUCCAACCAUUGUUCUGCUGCUCUAUCUCUGCUGUUGCUAGAAUUUAAAUUCAAAAACUCUUUGCAUCAGGGAUUGUAGGCCGAUUCCAGCUCUUUUGUCUCCAAUGGGAGUGGUGUCAGUAGCUUCUGUAGGUCAGGAUUUGCUUCCUAACCUUUGCUGUGCUCUUGAAUCACUGAUGAACAGUGUGAUCUCAAUAAUACUGUACCAAUAUGUAGAAUUGUCUGCAUUUCUGGUGUACAUGUAUAGUCACAUCUGCCACACUGAUAUGAGGACACCUGCCCCAUAAUAGUAAAUGCAGUCUCUGAUUGAUUUGGGUAUGGGAGAAAUUGCUUAAAAAGCUUUUUUCUUACAGUGCUUAUCAUAAACAGAAUGUGGCGGGUUCCUGACAUUCAUCCUGCAUUCAGUGUAUCUUAUACCUGGAUUUUCAUUUCACAAAUCUGGAGAUAGCCUGCCUUCAUGGUAAUUAAAAGUAAAUCACAGAAGAAAAAAAACGGGACUUGUGCUUUCAUUUUUAUUAGCUCAUCCCUGGACCCUGAGAGAGAUUUUCUUUCUUGUGCUGCAUUGUGAUUGAGACAGAAUAUAAUCCACUGUUAAUAAUUUUCCUUAAAAGCAUAGGUAAUGCCAUCAGGUUUGCAGAACACCUCCUCAUCUUCCACAACACUGCACUGUGUUUACUCCUAAAUUCCUACCUGUUUCUUCAGCUCCUAGGGCUGAAGGCCAGUGAAAAGCAGAUUGAGGACUUUGCAAAAUACAGUUUUUAAGCCCAUGCAGCUAGAUUGUUUCUCUCUCCUUUUUAUUUAUCAGAACUUUCCCCAUAAUGCUUUGGGUUAGUGGAGAAAAUCAGGCAAUAAGCUCAGGGUCUUUUUUUUCCAUUAUCUGUCUCCAACUGUUUGGCCAGAAUCUGGCUGUUGAAUUGCCCUCUAGAGCUUUAAUUUAUUUUGAUAGUGUAGGUUUAGAGACCUGUCCUCUCCUCUCUCAGCUGUGUGGGAGAAAAGAGGAACACAGCCAAGUCGUGCUCUGGUGCUGCAGAGCUGCUUGCACCUUUCCAAGGGCUUACAUGCAGGGG